RNAcentral lists this ribosomal RNA (258 nucleotides) under uncultured bacterium. RNAcentral describes it as "partial 16S ribosomal RNA". It matches the Rfam family "Bacterial small subunit ribosomal RNA", at positions 524 to 781 of the family's 1533-position model. The record is from RNAcentral.
UACGGAGGGUGCAAGCGUUGUUCGGAAUUACUGGGCGUAAAGCGUGUCUAGGUGGGAAUAUAAGUCAGGUGUGAAAGACCAAGGCUCAACUUUGGAACUGCGCCUGAAACUAUAUUUCUUGAGUUGUGGAGAGGUGGGCGGAAUUCCUGGUGUAGCAGUGAAAUGCGUAGAUAUCAGGAAGAACAUCGGAGGCGAAGGCGGCUCACUGGCCACACACUGACACUAAAGCACGAAAGCGUGGGUAGCAAACAGGAUUAG